This 406-nucleotide ribosomal RNA is filed under the name uncultured bacterium. RNAcentral describes it as "bacterial SSU rRNA". It matches the Rfam family "Bacterial small subunit ribosomal RNA", at positions 11 to 429 of the family's 1533-position model. The record is from RNAcentral.
GUUUGAUCCUGGCUCAGAAUCAACGCUGGCGGCGCGCCUAACACAUGCAAGUCGAACGAGAAAGCAGGAGCAAUCCUGUGAGUAAAGUGGCGUACGGGUGAGUAACACGUGGAUUAUCUACCUUCUAGUGGGGGAUAACCCUGGGAAACCGGGGCUAAUACCGCAUAAGUUCGAGAGAAGAAAGCAGCAAUGCGCUGGAAGAGGAGUCCGCGGCCGAUUAGCUAGUUGGUAGGGUAAAAGCCUACCAAGGCUACGAUCGGUAGCCGGCCUGAGAGGGCACACGGCCACACUGGCACUGAAACACGGGCCAGACUCCUACGGGAGGCAGCAGUGGGGAAUCUUGCACAAUGGGGGAAACCCUGAUGCAGCGACGCCGCGUGAGCGAUGAAGCCCUUCGGGGUGUAAA